GCCAAUUAACACACACUGCAGGCACACAUUUUGUGGUUGGAUUUCAAGUCUGCAUUGGAAUGAUAAGGAGCAUGUCCAUGGCAUUGAAUUAGAGGGUUUAGGGGUUUGCCUGUUUUGUAAGUUCUGAUCCAUUCCAUGUGUGACACAUGGGCUGUAGCCAAGCCUAUUCUGUUUUGCCCAAUAGGAAGUGAAUGGUGAAUAAUGUAGUGUGGCCUUUCGGAGUCACAUUUAUUGCCUACCCCGGUGAUGCUGGGCCAAUUGUGCGCAGCCCUAUGGGACUCCCGAUCAUGGCCGGAUGUGAUACAACCUUGAAUCGAACCGGGGACUGUAGUGAUGCCUCGUGCACUGAGAUGUAGUGCCUUAGAUUGCUGUGCCACCCGGGAGCCCUAGACAUUUAAGUGCCUUCAGAAAUGAUUCACACCUGUUGACUUUUUCCACAUUUUGUUUUGUUACAGCCUGGCCAACACACAAUAGCCCAUAAUGUUACAGUGAAAUUAUUUUUUUCUAAUGUUCUACAAAUUAAUUAAAAAUGAAAAGCUGAAAUGUCUUGAGUCAAUAAGUAUUCAACCACUUUGUUAUGGCAAGCCUAAAUAAGUUCAGGAGUAAAACUUUGCCUAACAAGAGUCACAUAUGUUGAAUGGACUCACUCUGUGUGCAAUAAUAGUGAAUACAAAGGUUUAUGUUUGGGGCAAAUCCAAUAGAACACAUUACUGAGUACCACUCUUCAUAUUUUCAACCAUACUGGUGGCUGCAUCAUGUUAUGGGUAUGCUUACUCCGGGUUAACUUGAUGGUAAAGCUAAAGCUCCUACAUAUUUCUGUACUGAAAAAAAU
Molecule: long non-coding RNA, 832 nt
Organism: Oncorhynchus tshawytscha (Chinook salmon)
Lineage: Eukaryota; Metazoa; Chordata; Actinopteri; Salmoniformes; Salmonidae
Source: Ensembl